GGGGAAUAUUGCACAAUGGGCGAAAGCCUGAUGCAGCGACGCCGCGUGAGGGAUGACGGCCUUCGGGUUGUAAACCUCUUUCAGCAGGGAAGAAGCGAAAGUGACGGUACCUGAAGAAUAAGCACCGGCUAACUACGUGCCAGCAGCCGCGGUAAUACGUAGGGUGCAAGCGUUAAUCGGAAUUACUGGGCGUAAAGCGUGCGCAGGCGGUUGUGUAAGACAGAUGUGAAAUCCCCGGGCUCAACCUGGGAACUGCAUUUGUGACUGCACGGCUGGAGUGCGGCAGAGGGGGAUGGAAUUCCGCGUGUAGCAGUGAAAUGCGUAGAUAUGCGGAGGAACACCGAUGGCGAAGGCAAUCCCCUGGGCCUGCACUGACGCACAUGCACGAAAGCGUGGGGAGCGAACA
This 406-nucleotide ribosomal RNA is filed under the name uncultured Burkholderiales bacterium. Its description in RNAcentral is "bacterial SSU rRNA". It matches the Rfam family "Bacterial small subunit ribosomal RNA", at positions 356 to 774 of the family's 1533-position model. Lineage: Bacteria; Pseudomonadati; Pseudomonadota; Betaproteobacteria; Burkholderiales. The record is from RNAcentral.